GACGAACGCUGGCGGCGUGCUUAACACAUGCAAGUCGAACGGAAAGGCCCUGCUUUUGUGGGGUGCUCGAGUGGCGAACGGGUGAGUAACACGUGAGUAACCUGCCCUUGACUUUGGGAUAACUUCAGGAAACUGGGGCUAAUACCGGAUAGGAGCUCCUGCUGCAUGGUGGGUGUUGGAAAGUUUCGGCGGUUGGGGAUGGACUCGCGGCUUAUCAGCUUGUUGGUGGGGUAGUGGCUUACCAAGGCUGUGACGGGUAGCCGGCCUGAGAGGGUGACCGGCCACAUUGGGACUGAGAUACGGCCCAGACUCCUACGGGAGGCAGCAGUGGGGAAUAUUGCACAAUGGGCGGAAGCCUGAUGCAGCAACGCCGCGUGCGGGAUGACGGCCUUCGGGUUGUAAACCGCUUUCGCCUGUGACGAAGCGUGAGUGACGGUAAUGGGUAAAGAAGCACCGGCUAACUACGUG
Molecule: ribosomal RNA, 468 nt
Filed under: uncultured bacterium
Lineage: Bacteria
Description: partial 16S ribosomal RNA
Rfam family: Bacterial small subunit ribosomal RNA
Source: RNAcentral